Molecule: RNA transcript, 6713 nt
Organism: Zalophus californianus (California sea lion)
Lineage: Eukaryota; Metazoa; Chordata; Mammalia; Carnivora; Otariidae
Gene: APH1B
Gene name: aph-1 homolog B, gamma-secretase subunit
Exons: 9
Source: RefSeq, a predicted model, not a curated record
GCCCCGCCCCCUCCGCCUCUCCUCCAGCCGCUCCGUCCCUCCCAGCUCGCUCCCCCGCGCCGAGCUCAGCUCUGUCAGCGUCCGGUGCACCUCGCGUCCGGGUCAGGCCUCCGGGCCGGCUUCCGCGGUCGCCAUGACGGCGGCCGUGUUCUUCGGCUGCGCCUUCAUUGCCUUCGGGCCUGCGCUGGCCCUCUACAUCUUCACCAUCGCCACCGAGCCGUUGCGCGUCAUCUUCCUCAUCAUCGGAGCUUUUUUCUGGUUGGUGUCUCUGCUGUUUUCCUCCCUUUUUUGGUUCAUGGCAAGAACCAUUACUGACAACAAAGAUGGACCAAUACAGAAAUAUCUGCUGAUCUUGGGAGUGUUAGUCUCAGUCCUUAUCCAAGAAAUGUUUCGGUUUAUGUAUUAUAAACUUUUAAAAAAAGCCAGUGAGGGUUUGAAGAGUAUAAAUCCAGAUGAGACAGCACCUUCUAUGCGAUUGCUGGCCUAUGUUUCUGGUUUAGGCUUUGGAAUCAUGAGUGGAGUAUUUGCCUUUGUAAAUACCCUUUCCGACUCCUUGGGACCAGGCACAGUGGGCAUUCAUGGAGAUUCUCCCCAGUUCUUCCUAAAUUCAGGAGCUUACCCUCUAAUAGAGAAAACAAGACUAAACAAAACUUUCAUGACGCUGGUUAUCAUAUUGCUGCACGUGUUCUGGGGCAUCAUAUUUUUUGAUGGCUGCGAGAAGAAAAAGUGGUCUGCCCUUCUUGUAGUUCUUCUGACCCAUCUGCUGGUGUCAGCCCUGACCUUCAUAAGUCCUCAUUAUGGAAUCAAUCUGGUGUCAACAUAUAUAAUUAUGGUACUUAUGGGCAUCUGGGCAUUCUUUGUUGCUGGAGGCAGCUGCCGAAGCCUGAAAUUUUGCCUACUCUGCCAAGACAAGGACUUCCUCCUUUUCAACCAGCGCUCCAGAUAACCUCUGAGAACCAGCACCUGUCAAACAUUGGAACAAGGACUUCCCCUGUGUCCAGCCUCAACAUGUGAGAAACCUCCAGUGGAAAGAAGUACAUAGUUUAUCUUCACCUCAUUGAAAAUGCUGAAUAGAUGAACCACUCAACCACUCAACUGGCUUAUGGAUUCAGUCGCAGUAAAAGAAUUUUUAAGGAUUUGACACAUUCUCAGGGAUAUUCUUCAAGACCCAGAGAUCUCAGCCUACCGCUCACUUGCUCUUAAAGUGAUGUGGGGAACGAAGGACUAAAGCAGCCCCAUGCCAAGGACUGAGGCCCACCAAGCUCCGUUUGAAUUUUACAUUGUUUAUAUUUUGACGCAGUACACAUCCUCUCCACGUGAGGACCUACUGAUUUUCAGCAAUUUUGCAUCGGUUUAUGGAGCACCUAUUAUGAGCAGGAAUUACUCAGGGUCUCGGGUCCGCCGGGUUGAACACAACAACAGGGCCCCUGCUUGCCCAAACUUGCAUCCUUUGGGAUACUUCAGGCUGGAAAAAUUGGUGUGGGACUGACCACAGCUCCAGAUAGGUCUUUGGGGCUGGUGGAGGUAUGACCUUCCUAAUAGGAAACCCUUGAGGACACUGACUCUUGAUACCCACAUCUAGAGCAAAUAUAAAACCCAAUCUGAUAAGGAUGCUUGAAAAAUAUCAAGUAAUUAUAUGCCUGGAAUCACAGAGCUCAGUGCAAAGUUUAUACUGGGAGAGUGUGACAAUACUACAAACUAAUGCCAAACUACCAGUGAGCAGGAAGAGACUUAAAAAAUAAAUCCUCCAGGGCUCAGGCUUCUUGCUAACUACCGGGUAAUUGUCCUUCCUCUGGAAAUGGCAAUAAACCCUCCAAUCCCAUGUUCAGAUAAACUUUCUUACUCCCACAGGAAAAAAAAAAAAAAAAUCUUUAAAGAAUGUAAAGCUGUGUUUAAAAGAUUAUCUCCCUGUGGUAAUUAAAUGGAUUUUCAGGCGGAGGUUUCCCCAGAAAAGCAAGUAAUUGGCAUGUCAUGGCUCGUUAGGGUGGAACCAUGGUGCUCUGUGGGCUCUCUGUGAGUUGGGACCCAAGCUUUGCCAUCUGGGGUCCAUUCAUCAGUAUUUCAGCACGAGGAAUGAAAGUAACUGGAGCAGAGGGGAAGGGAAAGGAACACCACUUCUUCCGGGAACCUGUCCAUAGACAACAGCACUAUUUCACAAGAGUGGACGUGUGUACACUGGCCUCACAGAAUCCCGGCUCCCUACCCCUUGUUCUCUAACCAGGCGACUUCAUCUGAGAGUAAGGAGAGUCGGAAGAAAAACUUGCUAUGAGGAGUUGAUCCAAGGUCUGGACAUACACGGUAGAACCCUACUAAUUUUUCAGGCUGUCAACCUUUGGAUAUACCUUCUUGGAAAUGUUAGAGCUUGAAGGGAUUUCAAAAUUUCCUGUCCAACCUCUCAAUGGACACCAGUUUUCUCACUUGCGCAUGUUAGAGUCUUCACUGAGCUAUAUUUUAAUUUUCAAGAUCUCAGAGCCCUGGACUCAAAGCAACUCAACCCCACCAAGAUGGCAGAGGGAGAGGGUGGCUAGAGGACACCAAGGUAAGACCAUUACUCAGCGGAGGACAAAACCAAAUUCCUUAGGGACAGCAGGAAGCAGAGAUGGCGCAAUCAUGAGGUAGUAUGCAAACCCUCAGGUCAAGAAGAGGCACAGCUCUGGGGUGGCAAGCCUUCUACAGUGAGGCUGCCAGCCUUUUUGUUGCUCCCAAUGACGUUUGGACCCACGGCCAGGGUGGCAGAAGCUGCCGGCCAGGCACAAAAGGAAAAACCCCGUGAGUGAAGAGGCACAGCAAUGAGAUGAUGAUUUCUCCUUGGACACAUGACUGAAGGGAACUGGGUUAGAAGGACUUUCUCUUCCCAAAAGAGAGGUUCCAAAAGGUUCCAUGAAGAGGGCAUUCUAGUGCUAACUAAACUAAGAACUCUCUGGGGACAGGAGCAUCUCACUGUGACCACUGUGAACUCAUGUGGUGAUUAGGGUCACACACAUAACAGGCCUUUGGUAAACAGUUUCCCCAAGAAUAAAAGACCCCGAAGAACAGAGAGCUUGGGAAAGGUCAUCAGGAGGAAUUUUUCUUUUUCAUUGUGCCCUAGAUACUCUUUAUUGGAACUGACACUGGAUUAGGUAUUUGGGGCCAAGAAAGGCUAGGGAUAUGGGAUAUAAAAGGCAACAGAGUCGGUGUUGGCAAAAGCUUCUUCGGAAAGAGAAGCGGCUAUGUUGGAUGAGAAGAGUCCAGAAAACAAGAUUUCAGCGCCAGCCGUCCCACCACCUCAGUGAGCGGACCCUGAGCAAGUCACAUUCCCUGCCUGAGUCUCCUUUACCCUUCAUGCAAAUGAGAGAUUUGAACACUGUGCUCUGGAAGUUCCGUUCUGGCUCUCAGCUCCGAGAUGCAUGGAGAUUACUAGGACUAAGCGCCUCUACCCUCUGUAUCAGGCAGGUUUGAACGGGUUGCAGAGAGCCGCUCAUGCCAAGCAGCUAGCUCCCGGGUGUGUGACAAGGUGCCUGGUGGGAAGCGACUGUGGGACUGAGAACGCAGGGCACUGCUGCUCCCGGGCAGGGCGAGCCCCCGGCCUCAGGUACCUGCCGCGGAGUGAGCUGCCAUCCCCGCCUGUCUUUGAGCACCAGCCACAGCCCCUUAGGGGCAACAGGGUCUAAAAAGCGUUUUCUACUCCUGCUUUAUUAUUAUUAUUUGUAGUAGUUUUGAUCCUUACAACUCUAUAGGAUCAGCAAGGCAAAAACCGUACCAUUUUAUAGAUGAAGAAUUGAGAUUAAAUGAUUUGCCCUAAUUAGACCUUGGCUUAGUUACAGAGUUAUCUUGCCUGGGUCACAGAACCUCCAUGCCCUCCUGUUUUAGUAUUUAUCCAGGAGAUUUGGGGCAUGCCUGUUUCCUCCCUCUCCCGUGCUCUUCAGGAAGGCAAGGGCCAUGUCACGUUCGUCCCUGCCUCUCCCAUAAUGCCUGGCACAGAGCAGGCCCUCACCUGUUUGCGGAGCUGCAUUCUGAUGCUAAUUUUGUGCUUGUUCCUCUCCAGGGAAGCAUGCCCCUCUAUUAAUCCCCCUAGCUUCCCUACCACCCCGUAUCAUUUUUUUUCCCAUCAAAAAAGAAAAGAAAAAUUAGGUCACUUACUCAGGUUCAAAAUUUACCUUUCUAGCUUCCUAGUUUACCUGCAUGAGGAUGUGUUCUGUUUGGGAGCACUCAGUGAGAAAGAAAUCUGCUUUGCUGCGCUGUGGCCUGGGAGAUGGCCUGCCAAGUACAGGGCUUCACAGCAGUUCAUAGGAUCCCCCACCAGCACGGGAUGGCCAGUGUCCCCUUCCUGCACGGCUGGGGACCUUGGCAGAGCAGCCUCCCACCUUCGUGGCUUGUGAGUGCGAGGGGUGUGCGGUGCCGUGUGGGUGGGCACCAGGGAACCAGUAUUGGGGUGUUGUCAGUAGACCCCUUUUGACCCCCCACCCCUGGCCUCCGCCUGGGAGAUGUGUGACUUGUCGCUGAAGUAAUGCUGGCCUUUUGCAGGCAGCCCAGACUGUGGCUUUUCAACUUGGUCUCAGCUUCCACAUUCAUGCCAAGCGCCCUGGUGCCAGGAAACCUCACUUGGGACUAACUCUUCCAAAAGAGGCGUUUAUUUCCAGCUACCAUAAAAACUCCACUUUUCUCAGUUUUGACUUUGCCUUUCCAGUUAAUUGGAUUCCUCACAUGAUCCUGAUAGAGGAGAUCAUGUGUAUCUCCCAGUUUGUUUUUCCAAACAAAGUCAAAGCAUUAUUUCUUUCCAGCUCAUGUUUUUCUGUUCUGAAAUGUGACAGGAGAUUAACAUGGCACAGCUCAAAAUGCCUCUUGUGAUUUCUGAUUGGGAGUUAUGAGGCCCAGGGUACAAGAUCUGCAUUACCCAAGGACCAGAAUUUUUGUCUUGGAAAAUUUCAAAUACAUACAACAGCAGAGAGAAGAGCAAAAUGAACCUCCAUGUCCCCCAGCUUGGACAAUUAACCAUUGGCAAAAACAAAUCAGCCUCAUCUGUAUCGCACCCACUCUCCCCUAUCCCUGGAUAAUUCUGAAAGAAACCCAAAUCAUUUUCAUCUGUACAUACUUCAGUAUGUACCUCUAAAACAUAAGGGCCACGAUAUCAUUACCACACUUAAAAAGUUAACAAUUAAUUCCUUAAGGUUAUCAAAUCUCAUAAGAAUUCAGUUUUCUAGUUAUCUCAUCACUUUGUAAUGGUUUAUUUGUAAGCUUCAGGAUUCAAGUCAGGUCCAUAUAUUGCAGUUAGUUGAUGUAUUAUGGCCUAGAUCUCAAUUUGAUGGUGUGAUGCCUCAUCAGAGAACCACUGGCCCCACUUCUUCCAAGGCUCAAAAUCCCAGAGCCAGGUUGGCUCUGUCCAUCCUUUGCCCUCAGUCGGUCAUGGAGUCGCACGUUUCUGUUACCACCACCACCUCUACCACCCCAGGACUAGCCCUCAUCAUGUCACACUGUACAGGCUUCCUGCAGGGUCCCUGCCUCAGCCUUUCCUGUUGGCUGCCAGCCUCCUUUCUUGUGACCAAGUUUAACCAGACAUAGCCCCUCCCUGUCUCCAAAGCGUGCCCGCCCCACCCAACAAAGCAGAGCAGAGCGUAGCCAUCUUUCAUGGCCUGAAACACCUCAGCCUGUCAAGGCCUUCAGUAGCCCUCAGACCCUUCCCAGUCAGCCCCCAUGGUCGGGCCGGCAUCCCCAUCCUCAGAACAAGUUAUGAACUCGAACUUCACAGACGUUCUUAUGCUAAAAAUGUGCUUAAAAUGCCUCCCUCUUUCCCCUUCACCUUUCCAAAUCUUGUCCACGCUUCAAAGUCCAGCUCAAGUCCUGCCAAAGCUACUCCAGUGCUUUCUUCCUGCGCCCAACCCCCGACCUGCUGGGGGUUCGCAUGGUGGUACAGUGAUGGGAAUGCUUGUUUGAGUCUCGUGCAUGAUUGCUGUCUCCAAGCCAGCACCUCAACCGGCUCCAGACUAGAACUCUGUCUGCGGAUUUCAAAGUCCCUUUGAAGACUACAGCUUUGUGUCACAUCCCUCCCGCAUGUCUGACAUAGCGGCCCUUACGAAACACUUAAGAAAUUGAUUUGGAGCGUUUCUUAAGCUCGUUUCAGAAAUCUAGCCAUAAAGGGGUGAGAGAAGAGCGUGUGUGUGUGUACGCACAUGGUUAUAGGAAGGUGAGGAUAACAAGAAGGGUUUUGUUCUUAAUGGGGAGACUUAAGCACACUUCCAUACAGAAGGGAAAGGGGAGGAGAGAAGGACGGUUGGGUCCAGGAGAAGGAGGAGUCUAUGGAUGGAGCGUGGCCCUGAGAAGACAGCGGGCUGCGGAGGGUCCAGCCAGCGGAGGUAGAAAUUCACUCCGGGCUGAAGGAGGCACUCGAUAAAUGUUCAUCAUGUGGAUCAAGAACACUGAAGCCUGCCUGGAAAUGAAGCCCAUGAAGUAAAAACCCAGUCAGAAAUCUGGGAACUCAGCAGGACUGCAAAGCUGAUCAGAGAGGACUGGCUAUGGGAAGACAAGCCGUCUGGUUUUCCGCAUUCCACAAUGCAUGCCACCAAAGUGCACCAAUGAGCCUAAAAAAGUCAGUGUGAUUUUUUUUUUUAAUGAACUUAUAUAUCACUACUUUCUUACUACAUCUUGUGGGGUUUUUUGAAAAAAAGAUUUUAUUUAUUUAUUUGAGAGAGAUAGAGCACUAACAGUGGGGAGGGGCAGAGGGAGAGGGAGAAGCAGAC